Manis javanica (Malayan pangolin) is the source of this 1676-nucleotide non-coding RNA. The record is from RefSeq and is a predicted model, not a curated record. Lineage: Eukaryota; Metazoa; Chordata; Mammalia; Pholidota; Manidae.
UCAAAGUCUUCUGCCUUUUCAUGGCGAUAGAGGUAGUCGUGGGGCAUUGUCGUGUGUGUCAGCUGGGAGAACCAAGUCCCUUCUGGCUUGCUCGUUGCCUUCCUCUCCUGUGAGAACAGCGACCCCUAGUGGCUUGUGCUGGGAGUUGCGUGCCGACGGGGUCUCUGGUUCUGGCCCGGGCGGCUGCCGGGAGGCUCUGUGCAGCUGCUGUCCCCUCACCAUUUUUUAAACAAUUAAUACCGUAUAUUAAAUUCUUUCCUGUGAAAAAAACUGACCAUGUCAAGUAUUAGUGAAGAAGAGGACUUGUUUGGAUCAUCUGGAAUCAUGAAUAUGCUGCUGGUGGAAGUGUAAGGUGGAAACCACUUUGAGGAAUUCUUUGGAAGCUUCUACUAAAGCUAAACAUACCCUACCCAGCAAUUUUUAAAUGAGGGCAUGGCUCUACAAAAAGACAUGUGUGAAUAUUCAUAGGAGCUUUAUUCCUAAUAGCCCAGAACCAGAAAAGUCCAAACAUCCCAUUACAGAUAGAAUGAAUAAACAAAUUGUGUUGUAUUUAUAUAAUAGAAUACUGCUUAGCAAUGAAAGAACAAAUUUCUGAUACAUGCAGCAACAUAGGUGGAUGUCAAAAACAUGUUGGGUGAAAGAUACCAGACACAGUACCUAUUAUAUGAUUCCAUUUGCAUUAAACUGAAGAACAAGCAAAACUAAACUAUAAUGAUGGAAUCAGAAUAAUGAUUGGGGGUGGAGAUUGAUGGAGUACAAGAGAAGUUCCUGGGGAAAUGGAAGUAUUAUAGAUCUUGAUAUAGGUGCUGGUUACACAGCUAUUUACUCAGAUAAAAAUCAAGUUGCAAUUUAUGACUGAUAUAUUUCAUUGAAUGUAAAUUAUGUUUCAAGAAACAAAACCCAUGCACAAAAUACCUGCAGCAGUUUCUGUUUUCUGCACUGAGUUCUAGAUCCUGGGGGAGGGGCCCUAUGCCAAGAGACCGCAAGAGAGGCUGAAAGCAAGCAGGGCACCAGCAGUGUGACAGGAAGCUGGGGCCAUGGAGGGAUGUGACCAGGGAGAAGGCUCCUGUGUUGGAGAGAUCCAUGAACUUUAGAAACUCUGAAUCUAACUUUGCAGCAUGCCCUGCCCAUGCAUUCCUUAACCAUUUUUCCUCUAAACCCCAAGUAAAUGUCUGCUGCCUAGCGACUUAUUUCAGUAGUUCUCAGGAAAGAAGGGCAGGAUGGCAGCCGCUGAGUGGAGGAUGACCAGCAACACAGGCUGAUCAGGAGACCAUGCUGACCACAGUGGCUAGACAGCCCUGGAGGAGCUGGCUGCAGCAGGGACUGACCCACUGGACAAUGUAGACUAAGCCCCCUCCUGAGACCCCUUAGAGCCUUGGAAAAUUCCCUGAAAGGACUCAGACAUGAGAACAUGUCCCUUUUUGGCACCCUCUGGCAUUCUCUUUGGGCCUAACUGCUCUCUGGGGCAAGAUGUGAGCUGGUGGUUGCUGAGGUAUCAUAUGUGAGCCACUGUCCUUCUUGGAGCAGUGGCCUGGGGGCUUGGGCCACCUGCCUGGGGGUGAGGUUUACUGCGGAUGGGGGCUCCAAGGCCCUCACUGGGGGAUGGGGAGCAGCCUGGUGUAUAGGCCACUCUCUGGACUCACCCUUCUCCUAAUAAAUGGACAAUGAUCAAUGAA